CGCGUAGGUGGUUAGGUAAGCGAGAUGUGAAAGCCCGGGCUUAACCUGGGAACGGCAUUUCGAACUGUCUGACUAGAGUAUGGUAGAGGGUAGUGGAAUUUCCUGUGUAGCGGUGAAAUGCGUAGAUAUAGGGAGGAACACCAGUGGCGAAGGCGGCUACCUGGACCAAUACUGACACUGAGGUGCGAAAGCGUGGGGAGCAAACA
This 206-nucleotide ribosomal RNA is filed under the name uncultured bacterium. Its description in RNAcentral is "partial 16S ribosomal RNA". It matches the Rfam family "Bacterial small subunit ribosomal RNA", at positions 568 to 774 of the family's 1533-position model. The record is from RNAcentral.